Mercenaria mercenaria is the source of this 2235-nucleotide long non-coding RNA. RefSeq lists it as uncharacterized. The record is from RefSeq and is a predicted model, not a curated record. The transcript has 3 exons. NCBI's taxonomy places the organism in Eukaryota, Metazoa, Mollusca, Bivalvia, Venerida, Veneridae.
UAUUGAGCGAUGACAAUUAUCUAAUGUACAGCGACCGUAUUGAUUAUUGCAGACGAAAAACUAAUAUCUAUUUUAAAAGAAUAUUUGAUAUUUGUUUUCUCAUUAUAUACCGCAUUGAAUUGUAUGGAAUAUUCUGAAACGUAGUAAAAUAAACUUAAGGAAGUUUGCUUUAAAAUAUACAGACAUAGCGCUAGAGAUGAAACAGCUCCUUACUUAUGAACUAUGAAUACCGGCUAUAACAGGUUUUAAGUGUUUAAAUUCAGAUGCGUAAAGAAAGGGUUUUCCAAGACGGCUGCCGCUUUGUUUGUCAAUGUGCGAAAGCAACGUGAAUAUAGGCACAUGAUCCACGUAUAGAACCUAAACGACGAAUGAAAUGUUGGAGAGGUACCGCCGUUCAAACAAUGAUAAGACUGGCACCAUCUAAGGUUUGUCGAGUUGUAUGUGCCUGUGUUGUACUUUUCAACAUAGCGAUCUUAUUGAAUGAGCCAGAACUUACUGACUGGAACCAGGAUGACCCUAUAGACCUGGAAAAUGAAGACAUAGCAGAUUCAGAAAGAGAUGGCAGCACUGUUUGAAAUUUUAUUGUUCAUCAAGUUUUUCCAUAUAACUCAGAAAAAUAAAUAGAAAUUCAGCUGUCAAAUUAUAAAGACGCUGUAAUGAACCUAGUAUCAGAAUAUUAUUGUUCGCUUAUCAAAUUUAGAAGUUCUCUUUAGCUCAUUCAUCUUGCUUUCAACCGCUUCCAAAAUCCUGAGCUUCACUUUAAAUAACUCCUUCUCUAAUCCCUGUUCAACCAUUCCCUAAAAAUAUCAUAUUUGAUAGUCCACCAAGACAUCAUUCCUACUUCUCUUAACGCGUCUGGUACAAGGCCUAUAACGAUAAAUUGCGUUUAUUAUAAAUGCAAAAUAUUUCAAAUAUUGAUUCAACACAACAUUUAUUGUUGUUUUGUUUUUUUUUUGUCAUAAUUAAGGAAGACAACUGUAGAACAUUGGGGUAGUAUUUAUAAUGCCUAUAAUAUAACCAAAUAUUUUAUGUUACAUAUCCAACACAGUCCUGACUUACUACUUGCAAUAGGAGUUUGCAUUUUACAUUUAAAUAUCCAUGCAAUUUAUGCUGAAUUCACACUAAUAUUUUAUUUUAUAUAGUGCAGACCAGAUAAGCAUUAACAAAAUCACAAGGCUUCAGAAGACCAAACUUAAUGAAAGGAUUUCAGUUUUGGCCCAUUUGCACAUACAUCUAUAUUGUACUAAAAGAAAUUUGUUUUUAAAUCUGGGGUUUUAACAUAUUUGCACUAGACUAAGAUGCUAUUGUCUUAAAUAAUCAUACAAUUUUGAUUCAGAAAUGAUAACUCUAUGGCUUAAAUCUAUUAUGAUUUUUGCAGAUAAAAUAAAAUGUGUAAGUCAUUUAUUACACAGUUAUAUUUUAAGAUUAAGGAGAGGCAUAUUGCUUCAUUUAUCCAGAGAUAUUUCUAUUUAUCAUUUACAUCAACAGCUGUAACUUCUUUCAUAUGUGAUAUCAUUAUGACAUUUUGCAAUUAUGAUAUGUACCUGGUGUCUGUGUUAACCACUAUAUGUUACUUGAAUUUCAUGUAGUAGAAACAGUUAAGCAUCAGUUCAUCUACUAACUCUUUCUGAAUUUAUGCCACAGUCUUUGAACCUUCAUGAGAUUCUACAUGCAGUGUGACAGGAGCAGGAGACUGUAUAUUAAUAGAACUGACAUCAGAUUCCGUGUUUAGUUACGGAUCUGAAUCUUGACUGAAAUGUAAUGGAUGAAUAUGUAUAAUUACGAACAAAGAUCACCAUGAUUAAAUAAUUUCACACAAGUAGUCUUAGCACUGCUCAUGGUUUUUGCAAUACUGUCAGAUAAUAUAAAAUAUUCAAUUAUAUGUCUAGCACCAUUCAUAAUAUCAGUAUUUUUAGAAAGAUGACUUGGGAGCAUAUACGUAAGUUUAAGUAAUAGAAAAAGCAUUGAAACUCGAGGGUGAACGAUCUGUACUAAGGGGGGAGGGGGUGCUCAUUAUGUACUGUAAUGCAAAGGUCAACCAAUGGGGUCAAGUUGCGUCUAUUAUUAUCAAGUUUCGCGUUUGGAAAGUAGAAAAACAUACAUUGAUUUCCCAAACGGGAAGUUCACCCUUCUGAUGUUUAUUACAUGGCAGAACGAAAAAACUAUAUUACAUUUUUCUUCAAGCUCAAGUUUUGACCAUUCAAUAGCUAUAAACUAUGGACAAGCAUUUUGUAU